CCGUGCUAGAUGGGGAGUCAGCGGUGCCCUGUAACCUGCAAUCCGCUAUAGCAGGAUUGAAUUCCUUGCUUAGGCUGCUGCUUGUGAGGCCUGACCCAUAUAAGUGGCGUUGAUAACUGGGUCCCACGCAAUGAAAACUCAUGAAAUCCGUCAGAUCCGGAAGGAAGCAGCGGUAAGUGAAUCUUUUCAUGUGCCGUGGAUCAACCUGGUUUGAGCUAACUGUAUGGGUAACGCUUAUAGGCUGAUAGACGAAGCAAGGUGCACGG
Molecule: signal recognition particle RNA, 266 nt
Filed under: Clostridium sp. JN-9
Lineage: Bacteria; Bacillati; Bacillota; Clostridia; Eubacteriales; Clostridiaceae
Description: Bacterial large signal recognition particle RNA
Rfam family: Bacterial large signal recognition particle RNA
About the family: The signal recognition particle (SRP) is a universally conserved ribonucleoprotein involved in the co-translational targeting of proteins to membranes. Archaeal SRP consists of a 7S RNA and homologues of the eukaryotic SRP19 and SRP54 proteins.
Source: Rfam by way of RNAcentral